GACGAACGCUGGCGGCGUGCUUAACACAUGCAAGUCGAACGGAAAGGCCCUGCUUUUGUGGGGUGCUCGAGUGGCGAACGGGUGAGUAACACGUGAGUAACCUGCCCUUGACUUUGGGAUAACUUCAGGAAACUGGGGCUAAUACCGGAUAGGAGCUCCUGCUGCAUGGUGGGGGUUGGAAAGUUUCGGCGGUUGGGGGUGGACUCGCGGCUUAUCAGCUUGUUGGUGGGGUAGUGGCUUACCAAGGCUUUGACGGGUAGCCGGCCUGAGAGGGUGACCGGCCACAUUGGGACUGAGAUACGGCCCAGACUCCUACGGGAGGCAGCAGUGGGGAAUAUUGCACAAUGGGCGGAAGCCUGAUGCAGCAACGCCGCGUGCGGGAUGACGGCCUUCGGGUUGUAAACCGCUUUCGCCUGUGACGAAGUGUGAGUGACGGUAAUGGGUAAAGAAGCACCGGCUAACUACGUG
This 468-nucleotide ribosomal RNA is filed under the name uncultured bacterium. RNAcentral describes it as "partial 16S ribosomal RNA". It matches the Rfam family "Bacterial small subunit ribosomal RNA", at positions 28 to 507 of the family's 1533-position model. The record is from RNAcentral.